Long non-coding RNA from Chlorocebus sabaeus (green monkey), 675 nucleotides. RefSeq lists it as uncharacterized. The record is from RefSeq and is a predicted model, not a curated record. Lineage: Eukaryota; Metazoa; Chordata; Mammalia; Primates; Cercopithecidae.
CGCCCCCACGCCUGACUACGCCCACACACUUGGCCCCGCCCCCGUUUCGGCCCCGCCCAGAUCCGCCUCCGUUGCAGCCAGAAGCAAGAAGCUGUCUUCCCGCCCCCGCGCGCCUGCAAUCAUUAGCCCCAGUCUGCCUGGGAAACAGAGGAGCGCACCUGAGCAUGUAGAAUCACAAUUCUUGUUUCAUGAAGUUUGUUAAGUAAUUUGAACAAAGGUAAAUUUAUAUCAAGAAUCAUGUGAGGAUACUUAAGACCAGCCGGCCUGGCCGUGGAUCAAGAGCAAAUUCUGCUGCAGUGGGAUUCUUGAGCAUCUGGGAAGAAAGGGGCUACAGAAACAUGUGAGUCAUCCAACUACAGAAUCCAUGGAGGCAGAGGCUCUGGUGACGUGCUUGGCUUCUUGUCUCUGGCCUGGGGUCAUUGUCACUGAUACUGGUCUUGCUGCUUCUGCUGCUGAGUGUCUUUGGCUCAGUUAUUCUUGAACCACACCAGAACUUGUGCUCAGCUCAGGAUAUGUUCCUGACCCUUCCUUCUUGAAGGGACAGCCGUGUAACCAUUCAACCAUCUGGCCAUCAGUUUCCACAUCUGUGAGAUCAACUUCUGCCUCAUGGAGCCAGGAGUUCCCAAGAUGGAGUGUCUCUAAGCUCACUGCGACCUCCCCCUCCUGGGUUCAAGC